GGCGGACGGGUGAGUAACGCGUAGGAAUCUGCCUCAUAGUGGGGGACAACGUGGGGAAACUCACGCUAAUACCGCAUACGCCCUACGGGGGAAAGCGGGGGAUCUUCGGACCUCGCGCUAUGAGAUGAGCCUGCGUUAGAUUAGCUAGUUGGUGGGGUAAAGGCCUACCAAGGCGACGAUCUAUAGCUGGUCUGAGAGGACGAUCAGCCACACUGGGACUGAGACACGGCCCAGACUCCUACGGGAGGCAGCAGUGGGGAAUAUUGGACAAUGGGCGAAAGCCUGAUCCAGCAAUACCGCGUGUGUGAAGAAGGCCUUAGGGUUGUAAAGCACUUUCAAUUGGGAGGAAAACCUACCGGUCAAUACCCGGUAGCUUGACAUUACCUUUAGAAGAAGCACCGGCUAACUCCGUGCCAGCAGCCGCGGUAAUACGGAGGGUGCGAGCGUUAAUCGGAAUUACUGGGCGUAAAGCGUGCGUAGGGGGUUCGUUAAGUCAGAUGUGAAAGCCCUGGGCUCAACCUGGGAACGGCAUUUGAAACUGGCGGACUAGAGUUUAGUAGAGGGGAGUGGAAUUUCAGGUGUAGCGGUGAAAUGCGUAGAUAUCUGAAGGAACACCAGUGGCGAAGGCGACUCCCUGGACUAGAACUGACGCUGAGGUACGAAAGCGUGGGUAGCAAACAGGAUUAGAUACCCUGGUAGUCCACGCUGUAAACGAUGUCGACUAGCCGUUGGUCCUAUUUACAGGAUUAGUGGCGCAGCUAACGCAUUAAGUCGACCGCCUGGGGAGUACGGCCGCAAGGUUAAAACUCAAAUGAAUUGACGGGGGCCCGCACAAGCGGUGGAGCAUGUGGUUUAAUUCGAUGCAACGCGAAGAACCCUACCUAC
This 885-nucleotide ribosomal RNA is filed under the name uncultured Methylobacter sp. RNAcentral describes it as "bacterial SSU rRNA". It matches the Rfam family "Bacterial small subunit ribosomal RNA", at positions 97 to 978 of the family's 1533-position model. Lineage: Bacteria; Pseudomonadati; Pseudomonadota; Gammaproteobacteria; Methylococcales; Methylococcaceae. The record is from RNAcentral.